AAAUUGAAGAGUUUGAUCAUGGCUCAGAUUGAACGCUGGCGGCAGGCCUAACACAUGCAAGUCGAACGGUAGCACAGAGAGCUUGCUCUCGGGUGACGAGUGGCGGACGGGUGAGUAAUGUCUGGGAAACUGCCUGAUGGAGGGGGAUAACUACUGGAAACGGUGGCUAAUACCGCAUAAUGUCGCAAGACCAAAGAGGGGGACCUUCGGGCCUCUUGCCAUCAGAUGUGCCCAGAUGGGAUUA
RNAcentral lists this ribosomal RNA (244 nucleotides) under Salmonella enterica. RNAcentral's name for it is "partial 16S ribosomal RNA". It matches the Rfam family "Bacterial small subunit ribosomal RNA", at positions 1 to 243 of the family's 1533-position model. Lineage: Bacteria; Pseudomonadati; Pseudomonadota; Gammaproteobacteria; Enterobacterales; Enterobacteriaceae. RNAcentral also lists the same sequence under 1 other name. The record is from RNAcentral.